AAGUCGUAACAAGGUUUCCGUAGGUGAACCUGCGGAAGGAUUAGAAAAAGCAGCAAUCUGGUAAAUCAUCGCCGAACAGUUUUCGAUUCAGACGUCUGCAAGGAGCGUGCAUGUUGUGCGUGUAAGUGGCCUGGCAUCCCCAAGCAGUUAGUGUCUGAAAGUGUCACUAACGUUAGUGUCUGAAAGUGUCACUAACAUGUGUAAGGAUGACGCAGUCACGAUCGUUGGAGGCCCACACGGCCGACGACCGGGUCACUGGGUGCAAGCCCCCUUAUCACACCCCUGCUCUAUCUAUGGUGAUCCUGCGGGAAGUCCUGCGGUCGAACGCCGAAACCGAACAACUGUUAACAAUGGAUAUCUUGGUUCUC
Molecule: unclassified non-coding RNA, 368 nt
Filed under: fungal sp.
Lineage: Eukaryota; Fungi
Description: partial internal transcribed spacer region
Rfam family: Eukaryotic small subunit ribosomal RNA (bases 1-46)
Source: RNAcentral